This 279-nucleotide ribosomal RNA is filed under the name uncultured bacterium. Its description in RNAcentral is "partial 16S ribosomal RNA". It matches the Rfam family "Bacterial small subunit ribosomal RNA", at positions 506 to 784 of the family's 1533-position model. The record is from RNAcentral.
UGCCAGCAGCCGCGGUAAUACGAAGGGGGCUAGCGUUGUUCGGAAUAACUGGGCGUAAAGCGCACGUAGGCGGACUGUUAAGUUAGAGGUGAAAUCCCGGGGCUCAACCCCGGAACUGCCUUUAAUACUGGCAGUCUAGAGUUCGAGAGAGGUGAGUGGAAUUCCGAGUGUAGAGGUGAAAUUCGUAGAUAUUGGGAAGAACACCAGUGGCGAAGGCGGCUAACUGGCUCGGUACUGACGCUGAGAUGCGAAAGCGUGGGGAGCAAACAGGAUUAGAUA